UACGUAGGGUGCGAGCGUUAAUCGGAAUUACUGGGCGUAAAGCGUGCGCAGGCGGCGGCUCAAGUCAGGUGUGAAAUCCCCGGGCUUAACCUGGGAAUUGCGCUUGAAACUAGGUCGCUAGAGUGUGGCAGAGGGGGGUGGAAUUCCACGUGUAGCAGUGAGAUGCGUAGAGAUGUGGAGGAACACCGAUGGCGAAGGCAGCCCCCUGGGUCAACACUGACGCUCAUGCACGAAAGCGAGGGGAGCAAACAGG
RNAcentral lists this ribosomal RNA (253 nucleotides) under uncultured bacterium. Its description in RNAcentral is "partial 16S ribosomal RNA". It matches the Rfam family "Bacterial small subunit ribosomal RNA", at positions 524 to 776 of the family's 1533-position model. The record is from RNAcentral.